AUUGAACGCUGGCGGCAGGCCUAACACAUGCAAGUCGAGCGGAUGAAGGGAGCUUGCUCCUGGAUUCAGCGGCGGACGGGUGAGUAAUGCCUAGGAAUCUGCCUGGUAGUGGGGGAUAACGUCCGGAAACGGGCGCUAAUACCGCAUACGUCCUGUGGGAGAAAGUGGGGGAUCUUCGGACCUCACGCUAUCAGAUGAGCCUAGGUCGGAUUAGCUAGUUGGUGUGGUAAAGGCCUACCAAGGCGACGAUCCGUAACUGGUCUGAGAGGAUGAUCAGUCACACUGGAACUGAGACACGGUCCAGACUCCUACGGGAGGCAGCAGUGGGGAAUAUUGGACAAAGGGCGAAAGCCUGAUCCAGCCAUGCCGCGUGUGUGAAGAAGGUCUUCGGAUUGUAAAGCACUUUAAGUUGGGAGGAAGGGCAGUAAGUUAAUACCUUGCUGUUUUGACGUUACCAACAGAAUAAGCACCGGCUAACUUCGUG
This 484-nucleotide ribosomal RNA is filed under the name uncultured bacterium. Its description in RNAcentral is "partial 16S ribosomal RNA". It matches the Rfam family "Bacterial small subunit ribosomal RNA", at positions 30 to 507 of the family's 1533-position model. The record is from RNAcentral.